UCGGCUAUUGAUCCUGAUCAAGAAUAUAUAUACUUUAUAUGGUCGGAAACGCUUCCUUCUGCCUGUUACAUACUUUUCAACGAAUCUAGUAUACCCUUUUACUCUACGAGUAACGGGUAUAAUUAUGUGGGUUAAAGGGUCGGGGACGAGCAAAAGGAAAAUAACAAUAAGACAACGAAAUAGAUAAACGGGUUUCUUUUCUAAAAGGCACGCGGCCUAUUUCUUGCGGCUAAAUUUUUUGGGAGAAGCAGACGCGUUUUUUAUUGAGUGCCAAGUAUUAAGAAAAUGAUAAUGGAUGCAUUUCAUGAGUAAUAACAAAUACAACUUACAAAAGUGUUCAUUUAAGGUAAAUUGUUUUAAGACAUCUACUAAUAUUCAUUAUUUUAAGGUUAAUCGAACAUGUAGUCCCAUUUUCCAAAGCUACUGAAACGAAGCUGGCCCGAACUCCGUGAACAACAAGACGUACAAGACUCUGCAAUUUUAUAGACAUUCUAUAUGUGUUCUUGGUUACACUUAAAUCCUAUGCAUAUUUAAAUAAUAAGUUACAUUAAAAUAAA
Molecule: long non-coding RNA, 557 nt
Organism: Drosophila yakuba
Lineage: Eukaryota; Metazoa; Arthropoda; Insecta; Diptera; Drosophilidae
Exons: 2
Source: RefSeq, a predicted model, not a curated record